Molecule: ribosomal RNA, 424 nt
Filed under: Verrucomicrobiota bacterium
Lineage: Bacteria; Pseudomonadati; Verrucomicrobiota
Description: Verrucomicrobia bacterium partial 16S ribosomal RNA
Rfam family: Bacterial small subunit ribosomal RNA
Source: RNAcentral
UGAGGAAUAUUGGUCAAUGGACGCAAGUCUGAACCAGCCAAGUAGCGUGCAGGAUGACGGCCCUAUGGGUUGUAAACUGCUUUUAUAUGGGAAUAAAGUGAGGGACGUGUCCCUUAUUGCAUGUACCAUAUGAAUAAGGACCGGCUAAUUCCGUGCCAGCAGCCGCGGUAAUACGGAAGGUCCAGGCGUUAUCCGGAUUUAUUGGGUUUAAAGGGAGCGUAGGCUGUUUGUUAAGCGUGUUGUGAAAUGUAGGAGCUCAACUUUUAGAUUGCAGCGCGAACUGGCAGACUUGAGUGCGCACAACGUAGGCGGAAUUCAUGGUGUAGCGGUGAAAUGCUUAGAUAUCAUGACGAACUCCGAUUGCGAAGGCAGCUUACGGGAGCGCAACUGACGCUAAAGCUCGAAGGUGCGGGUAUCGAACAGG